Silurus meridionalis is the source of this 1343-nucleotide long non-coding RNA. RefSeq lists it as uncharacterized. The record is from RefSeq and is a predicted model, not a curated record. NCBI's taxonomy places the organism in Eukaryota, Metazoa, Chordata, Actinopteri, Siluriformes, Siluridae. The transcript has 4 exons.
GACUCAGGUAGUCAAAGUGUUGAGGAGGGAAAACGAUGAAUUGAGGCAGGCACUCAGAGGAAGCAGUGACCAUGCCGGUGCCUAUCCUGCUUCCUCGACCCUCUAGAGGUCAUUACGUGCCAAGGACACUGGGGACCCACCCAUACAGACAGGACGGGGUCUCAGCUUUCCUUGGCCCGGCCGUGGUUUCGAGCAACUCGGAAAAGAAGCAACGCUACCCUGACACGCCUCCAAACUCCCAACAAUGCCGAUCAAUGGACUAAGAAAUACUCGCAUUCACAACUUCUCUUUUCCCACUCCCCCACCACUCCUGUGCACUGUAAAUAAACACAAAGUGAUUCCUUUUCAGUGUGUUCCUCUGAUCACACGAGCAAUUCACUACUACACAGAGCACUUUUAAUAAUGGACAUUGUCUAAAAACAGCCUCACACAGAAAAUGUGGUUGUUAAGAAAUGAAUAAGAUUUUUCUUUAGAUUUAUAAGUUUGCCCCUAAUAAAUGAGCCGAUGGUGACUGUGGCAAAAGAAAAACUCCCUGAGAUUUCAUAAGGAAGAACUUUUACUUGAGUAGAUUUGUGAAGAAGAAAAUGUACUCUUACUCCGCUACAAUGAGCUCGUUACUUCUCUUUUUACCUCUUUGGUAUUCUCCGCAUCAAUUUUAAUGUUUUAUUUUGACAGAGAGAGAAACUUCCGCUAAGGCGCUACCACGUGACUGUGUUUCACCAAUCAAAUGUAGUUUUGUCACGUUACCAUACUCAAUCUCAGCGGCGGGACGGGUUAGUUAGCAACACAAACCUGUCAGAAUCAAUCGUCGGCAAUGCAGACACAAACGAGGAGGAAAACGAGUUGGGAAAAUCACAAGUAGGAGAGCUGGAGAGGUACCUUUCAUGUCCUUCCCCUGCAGGUAUUGAUCUACCCCACAUCUUUCCUCACAUCAAGAAUCUGUCACUCAAAGUCAACACAGGUCUUCCUGCAUCUGCAGCCUGUGAAAGACUUUUCAGUCAUGCAGGACUCCUGUUCACUGCUAAACGAUCACAGCUUCACAACAAGAACCUUGAGAGCCAGCUACUGUUGAAGUUUAAUAGUGACAUCACUGAGUGAUUUUUUUGGUGAAAUAAUUUUUUCUGCAUGUUUUCACACACGCGCACACACGUUUUACGUUGACUGCUUCCUUCUGGUGUGCAGUUUUCUGUUCAGCAUCCCUGCUAUGAAAUGUGUGUGUUUCCUUCUGUUGUUCUGUCACUGGAGACACACACACACACACACACAGUUUGAGAUGGGCUCAUGGGCUGCCUCGUUCUAGUUCUGCCUGGUAAAAAAGAAUAAAGGUUUGGAAAUUUGUGUUA